This 245-nucleotide ribosomal RNA is filed under the name uncultured bacterium. RNAcentral's name for it is "partial 16S ribosomal RNA". It matches the Rfam family "Bacterial small subunit ribosomal RNA", at positions 1037 to 1283 of the family's 1533-position model. The record is from RNAcentral.
GGUGCUGCAUGGCUGUCGUCAGCUCGUGUCGUGAGAUGUUGGGUUAAGUCCCGCAACGAGCGCAACCCCCGUCCUUAGUUGCUACCAUUUAGUUGAGCACUCUAAGGAGACUGCCGGUGAUAAGCCGCGAGGAAGGUGGGGAUGACGUCAAGUCCUCAUGGCCCUUACGGGCUGGGCUACACACGUGCUACAAUGGCGGUGACAGUGGGAAGCUAAGGGGUGACCCCUAGCAAAUCUCAAAAAAC